CAGUUUCUGUUUCUUUACAUUUCUACAACUGCCUAGUGUUCUUUACCAUACCACAAGGAAAGUCCCCUGUAUAACACCUCUCCUCACAUUGACUCCACAAUCCUGAAUUCACAGCAUACCCAUUUCCUAGUCUAAAAGUUCUUGGUACGGAUCAUGCUUCUGUUUUUCUAAUGACCAGAUGCCACAGAAAACAAUCAGUUUUUAUCUGUUUGCAUCUCCACACUUACUCAGUGUUCUUUAACCAAAGAAGGGACUCCCACCUGGGUACCACAGAGAAGAUUCCAUCUAUGGAGGGAGAAGACGACCCUGGAUGACUCACUCCUCUUUCUCUGAAAUGGAAGCAAAUUCAGAUUCUGGUGCCGGCCUAAUGCUCUAUACAGGACAUCCCCAAAUAUUCCAAAGAGUCCCUGGUGUUGGAGAGAAUAUCCCCGGUGAGACUGACUUAAUGCCCUUCGUAGGGAUCCAGAGAACAGAAACCUUAGGCUGAGUCUGUGCCACCUGGUAGAGCACAGACCUGUCUUGAUGGAGCAGUAUCCUCUGAUGCACGUGUAAUGUAUCCUGUCUCUAAGCAGAGCUCUCAGAAGUAAGAAACCUUUACUUCAGUUAACUCAGGUAAUAGCUAGCUAUAGUCCUGGUCAUGAUUUUUGAUAUUUUGUGAGGUCUUAACCCUGCAUUGUUAAAGGAUCUUCUCCCCUCCUGAAGUUGCGUUAAGGCAGGACCUACUGUGACACAUAGGCUUGUUGCCACAUAGACAUUCUGCUUGUUGCCACAUAGACAUUCUGCUCUGACCAUCAGGAGUGCCAUUUCUUGAAGGAACAUCAAACUUGUUAACCAUUUUUGUGGAACUGUCUUCAUAACUCCAUGCCCAGAUAAAUGUUUGGCUAAUGUAAUAUCUCAUAUUGAAAGAUACACAUUCAAAGAUAUUUUGAGUAUCUCUACAUUCUUUCAGGAGGCAGUUUCAUUCCUUUUUUUUUUUUUUUUUAAUGACAGUUUCAUUCCUGAUUGGACUGACCUUAUGUACUGGGACCAUUAACACAAGAUAACUAUGUGCAUAAUUAUAUAAUAACUAUAAAUGGAUUCAUACUAUGGCUGUAAUUUGUCUUCAUUACUAGAGUGGAUGAUCUUAUUGACUAUUUCACCUAUAAUGUGACUAGCUUAUAAUUGUAUGUAACACUGUAAGGCAUGAAUAUAUAGACUGACAUGGAAAAAAAA
Molecule: long non-coding RNA, 1212 nt
Filed under: Canis lupus familiaris (dog)
Lineage: Eukaryota; Metazoa; Chordata; Mammalia; Carnivora; Canidae
Description: lncRNA (ENSCAFG00000057022.1)
Source: RNAcentral